CCACCUUCCCAGCUCUUCCACGUGUUCCUUCUGAAAACCCACUCUCCAGUCUCCCUUCAAAGAGGUUUUAAAACUAACCUUUCAAGAUUUCCUAUCUUCUAUGGACAACUUUUCUCUACUAUGCUGUCCCGGGAUAUAUCAGGGAUAGAGAGAGAGAGAGACAUGUUUUGUCUAUUUUACUUGCUGGGAUGAUGCUUCACCCCUUCGUUCAUGUUUCCAUUUCGUAAUCAGUCUAUGAAAUUCGUCAAAGAUGUAGUAGGUGGAAGACUCGUGGGAGAAAAAAGCCAACUUGGUCUGUUUGCUAGCGAUUUUAAAAAAUGUUCAAGCUUGAAAGAGCUGGAGUAUCUAUAUGCUUUGAUGAUCAAGACAAAUGCAACGCAAGAUUGUUUCCUGAUGAAUCAAUUUAUAACUGCGUCUUCAAGCAUUCGUUGUACAGAAUGGGUAAUUGCAGCCUUUGACCAGUUAAAAGAUCCCAAUACAUUUGUUUAUAAUGCAGUAAUAGGAGCCUUUCUCUGUUGUUUCCAUCCACUCCGAGCUUUAGAAAUGUAUGUAGACAUGUUGAAAACUGAGGUCAGACCAACUAGUUUCACGUUUUCAUCAAUAAUAAAGAGCAGCACUUGUUUGAAGGCUGUAGAUUUUGGAGAUUCUAUCCAUGGACAGGUUUGGAAGUGUGGAUUUGAAACUCAUCUUCAUGUUCAGACUGCUAUUAUUGAUUAUUAUUCAAAUUUUGGUAAAGUUGUUGAAGCGAGAACAGUAUUUGAUAAGAUGCCUGAGAGAGAUGGUUUUGCCUGGACAACAAUGGUUUCAGCUCAUGUCCGUUUUGGGGAUUUGAGUUCUGCUAGGAAGUUGUUUGAUGAGAUGCCCGAGAAAAAUACUGCAUCUUGGAAUACUAUGCUGAAUGGUUUUGCGAGGAUUGGUGAUGUUGAGUCUGCUAAGCAGUUGUUCAGUGGAAUACCGCAAAAAGAUUUAAUUUCAUGGACAACCAUGAUCAACUGCUACUCUCAAAACAAGCACUACAAAGAAGCACUAGAGAUUUUCAACGAGAUGAAGGAUAAUGGGAUCAGUCCUGACGAAGUGACCAUGUCAACAAUCAUUUCUUCUUGUGCUCAUCUUGGUUGGCUAGACCAAGGAAAGGAGAUACACAUGUAUGUUCUGCAAAGUGGAUUGUAUCUUGAUGUUUACAUUGGUUCAUCACUGAUUGAUAUGUAUGCAAAGUGUGGUGCCAUAGAGAGAUCCCUUGUGGUGUUCUUCAAAUUGUCCAAGAAAAACCUUUUCUGUUGGAAUUCUGUGAUUGAAGGGCUUGCAGCUCAUGGUUGUGCCAAAGAAGCUUUGGUGAUAUUUCAUAUGAUGGAGAAGGAGAAGAUAAAGCCAAAUGGCAUUACCUUUCUUAGUGUUCUUACAGCAUGUACUCAUGCUGGACUGGUUGAAGAGGGCAAAAGCAGAUUUCUUCAAAUGACUCGUGACCUUCUCAUCCCUCCUGAAAUUAAGCAUUACGGAUGCAUGGUUGAUCUGUUAAGCAAGGCUGGUUUACUUGAUGAAGCAUUGGAACUGAUAAGAAGAAUGAAUAUUGAACCAAACUCUGUCAUAUGGGGUUCUUUACUUUGUGGGUGUAAGCUUCACAAGAACUUGGAGAUUGCUCAGAUGGCUGUUGAUAAGUUAAUGCUUCUGGAGCCAAAGAAUAGUGGAUACUAUAACCUUUUAGUGAGCAUGUAUGCUGAAGCAAAUCGAUGGAGUGAGGUUGCUAGAAUCAGGGCAAACAUGAAGAACCUUGGAGUAGAAAAGAGAUAUCCUGGAUCCAGUUGGAUUGAAGUGGAGAAGAACAUAUUUCAGUUUGCUUCUUGUGACAAUUGUCAUCCAGCAUCUGAAGAAAUUUACCUGCUACUGGAUGAAUUGGUUGGGCAACUUAAGCUGACUGGUUGCGGACCUAAGUUUGAAUUUAUUUUGUGAUGGCUUCUGGUAGACCAGAGCUGAUGGUUGUCUGCUGGCAAAGUGAACUGUGGAGAGUCAUCCUGACCUUUCUCUGAGAUCUUUUUUCUUGAUUGAUUGUUUAGGCAUUUCUUAAUCCGUAGAACUUUGUGACUCCAGCAUCGGUUAAAAGGUCUAUCCAGAGACUUAGGAAACUAUUUUGAAAGGGCGUUCAGCAAAUUAUGCUCAAGUGAUGUAGUAUUUAACUGACCUUCAGAAAUAUAAGGUGAUGCAGCUUUAACUCAUGUUAUCUUUCCAUUUGGGCAAUGAAUCCCUUUGGAUAUGGAGAACGUGUGAUGCUAGGUACAAGUAUGCUUUUACCCUGAUCUGAUAGAGUGGAGAAAUGGGCUGAGGUGAUGCAAGAUUGUUACUUCCCAAUAAGGGAAUGUAUGCUAUGACUACAAGCUGUCUGGUAAGUGGAUGCCUUCUUGAAAGAGGUUGUGGAAAUGUCUUUCAGUUGUAAUGGCACCUCAGCAAGAAAAUCUCAGCUUCAUGGAAACGCAUCUCAGGUUGCUAAUGGGGCAUUAGAUGGCAUCUAGUUCAACAGCAAUAUUCAAAUGUGUCGAAACCAUAUGUUACUUUUUGUGUAUUGAUCCUACCUUGUACCCCUGAUUGACUAAGUAUAACAUUGGUACUGCCUUCUGUAAUUGCUGAGGGUAGCCAUAGGUGUUCCACUCCCUCAGGUUGACUCAAUGCUUGGGAUAGAGCUGGAUACAGGUCUUAAGAACGACUACAAUGUGUCUAGAAUACAGUGAGGUUUGUGUUUGAUUUUGAUGCGGCGACUAGCACAUCUUAACUUACUCAGAAGAAGUUUCU
Coffea eugenioides is the source of this 2781-nucleotide RNA transcript. It is a transcript of the gene named pentatricopeptide repeat-containing protein At1g06143, with no coding region annotated. Lineage: Eukaryota; Viridiplantae; Streptophyta; Magnoliopsida; Gentianales; Rubiaceae. The record is from RefSeq and is a predicted model, not a curated record. The transcript is spliced from 5 exons.